GAAAAUGAUCACCCUGCAGAGGGUUUCUGUCCCUUACAAACAGUUGUCCAGGAAGGGAUCAAAGAACUGCUCGACUAGACCGAGGCUGGGCGAGCAUUGCAGCAGGGUUAGCCAGGAGCAGAACACACAUUGUCACCAUAGCCCUGCCCGACUGGUCCAGCACCACUAAGUCUGCCUUCGCAAAGCUGCAGAUGAGCCCAGAGCAGGGACACGAGGAUGACAUGGAACACUUGCCGCUUUGCUGAGACAAGCUCUCCAUCCCAAUACUGUAGGAGGAAGUCCCACUGCCUCACCAGUGCCUAGAGUGUCCUAUGACAGUUACUUCCAGAACUCUGAGACG
Molecule: long non-coding RNA, 340 nt
Filed under: Rattus norvegicus (Norway rat)
Lineage: Eukaryota; Metazoa; Chordata; Mammalia; Rodentia; Muridae
Description: long non-coding RNA NONRATT008715
Source: RNAcentral